Long non-coding RNA from Sinocyclocheilus rhinocerous, 356 nucleotides. RefSeq lists it as uncharacterized. The record is from RefSeq and is a predicted model, not a curated record. NCBI's taxonomy places the organism in Eukaryota, Metazoa, Chordata, Actinopteri, Cypriniformes, Cyprinidae. The transcript is spliced from 3 exons.
AAAGGUGAAAAAAUUAGUUUUGCAAUGAUACUCCAAAGCAACGGACACAAAGACCAGACACAAAGAUUUACUGUAAAUACGGAACAACAUCAGAACACAAAAUGGAUCCAAAGAGCUUACUUUUUAAGGUUACCGGAGCUAUACAAUUGAUUCAAAUGGAAAAUGCCAAGAAAUCCCUUGAUGUGUUCUCAACCACCCUGUCAAAAUGCUUAUCAGCCUGUGGUUCUAUGACGCAGCAGCUCUUACCAUGUUGGCCUCAGCACUCCAGACCCGUCCGAGUCAUCAACUCUGAUCGCUCCAUUAAGAAAGGCAUAAUGGCAGAUGACCUGAGAGACCUACGAAACAAGGUGAGGACA